RNAcentral lists this ribosomal RNA (301 nucleotides) under uncultured bacterium. RNAcentral describes it as "partial 16S ribosomal RNA". It matches the Rfam family "Bacterial small subunit ribosomal RNA", at positions 509 to 809 of the family's 1533-position model. The record is from RNAcentral.
CAGCAGCCGCGGUAAUACGUAGGUGGCAAGCGUUGUCCGGAAUUAUUGGGCGUAAAGGGCUCGCAGGCGGUUUCUUAAGUCUGAUGUGGAAGCCCCCGGCUCAACCGGGGAGGGUCAUUGGAAACUGGGAAACUUGAGUGCAGAAGAGGAGAGUGGAAUUCCACGUGUAGCGGUGAAAUGCGUAGAGAUGUGGAGGAACACCAGCGGCGAAGGCGACUCUCUGGUCUGUAACUGACGCUGAGGAGCGAAAGCGUGGGGAGCGAACAGGAUUAGAUACCCCAGUAGUCCCUGUCUCUUAUAA